GUUCUUUUUUUUUCUUAUCUUUUGUUUUUCUUCAGCAAAUCCUUAAACAAUAUCUCUAUAGUUUUGUUGUGCAUAAUUAAUGUCCUCAAAGGUUCUCUACGUUUAUUUCUCCACUAAUGUAUUAUGUCUUCUUUAGAAAUGAUCUAUGAUUUGUUUUUCCUCUCCUUAAUCUAAUUUAUUUAUCCUGUAUUUAUUAUCAUGUUUCCUUCUUGAAUCUUUUCAUUAGGAUUUUUUUCUGAUCAUGUCAGGCAUGCCCAACUUCAAUUUACAGAUACCUCCCUUUGAUCCAUGACAAAUCUUAAACUUUUAAAUCUUUUCAUCGAAUAUAUGUAUAAGGAUUUUUGACUGGAUUUCAUUUGAGAUGGUUUGAUGGUGCAUUUAAUAAAUAAACAUUCCUAUAAAUCUUUGUUCGUCCAUUUAUCUGAUGAGUUGUAAAUAAAUGAAACUCUAUGACCAAUUUUUUCUAUCUUUGGUUUCUUGCUCCUUCACUAUACAGCUAUAUACGGUCAUGCAUAUAGACAUUAUUCCUCAUUUGUGUGAUUAUUAUAUUUCAGGUUUUGGAGGUUCUUGAAUGUGUAAUGCGUAUAUGACUGCUAGAGCAUCAUUUGGUUCCUAAUGGGACAAGGACUAGGACUUAAGUUGGGAUUAAAAGUUCCAAUCUUAUGUUUGGUUUCCUGUUCAAUGUUCUUGGGAAUAUGAUACUCAAAUCCCACUUCCAUGUUUGGUUAGUCUAAAAUUGAGAUUAGCAUGUAUUAUUCUAAAAUUGGGUUUAUGAUACAAAUUCCAGAUCCGUUUGGAACUAUAACUCAAAUUUCAGACCGUUUGGGUUUAUGAUUCAAAUGUAAGACCCGUUUAGGCCUUUGCUCACUGAAAAUUAGUUUUGUAGAUUUCUAUGCUAUCAAAUUAAAACCGUUUGGCCCGCUUUGACACUAACAAUUAUGAAAAUUAUUUACUUUUCCUUUUGUUAAGAUGAAUGAUGAUAAUGUUUAAUCUCUUGAUGCUUAUUGGAUCACCUGAUGCUAUGUUUGAUCACCUAGUGAUAUUUAAUAGGGUUGAUUGUGCAUGAAGACGACUUGCGUUAUAAAAUGUGUUAUCAUAGCAUGGUUGUACCCUCAACAUCGAUAUCCCAAUGAGUUUUCUGACUCUCCUGGAGUUUGUGCACCCUAGACUCGGGAAUUGUUUUUUCUUCGCAGGAUUGAGAGUACUUUGAGGAUCAGGUCCAGCGGUAGUGAUCACCUUCUGUCCUAUCAAUUUUUUAGCUUCAGUUUAUUUAGGUAGUCAUUUAUUCUAGACUUUUUCUUAGCCACACGUGGUUCUCCAGACUAUGAUGUGUUUUCCCAUUUCCCAUUUUGGAUAGUUGUGGACUUGUGGUAGAAUAUUGUAAUUUUAGAGAUUUUUUUACCUAUCUAUUUUCUUUGUUAUCUUA
This is a long non-coding RNA of Asparagus officinalis (garden asparagus), 1426 nucleotides long. RefSeq lists it as uncharacterized. NCBI's taxonomy places the organism in Eukaryota, Viridiplantae, Streptophyta, Magnoliopsida, Asparagales, Asparagaceae. The transcript is spliced from 2 exons. The record is from RefSeq and is a predicted model, not a curated record.